This 303-nucleotide ribosomal RNA is filed under the name uncultured bacterium. RNAcentral describes it as "partial 16S ribosomal RNA". It matches the Rfam family "Bacterial small subunit ribosomal RNA", at positions 507 to 807 of the family's 1533-position model. The record is from RNAcentral.
AGCAGUCGCCGCGGUAAUACGAAGGGGGCUAGCGUUGCUCGGAAUGACUGGGCGUAAAGGGCGCGUAGGCGGAUUGUUUAGUUAGGCGUGAAAUUCCUGGGCUUAACCUGGGGACUGCGCUUAAUACAGGCAGUCUAGAGUGAGGAAGAGGGUUGUGGAAUUCCCAGUGUAGAGGUGAAAUUCGUAGAUAUUGGGAAGAACACCGGUGGCGAAGGCGGCAACCUGGUCCUUGACUGACGCUGAGGCGCGAAAGCGUGGGGAGCAAACAGGAUUAGAUACCCGUGUAGUCCCUGUCUCUUAUAC